CAGCUACUCAGGAGGCUGAGGCAGGAGAAGCACUUGGACUCAGGAGACGGAGGCUGCAGUGAGCUGAGAUUGCACCACUGCACUCCAGCCUAGGUGACAGAGAUUCUUCCACAAAAAAAAAAAAAAAAAAAAAAAAAAAAAAAAAAAAAAAAGACAAACGCUUAUCUAGACUAACCAAGAAGAAAAGAGAGAAGAUGCAAAUCACUAAAACAAGGAAUUGCACUCCAGCCUGG
Molecule: long non-coding RNA, 233 nt
Filed under: Homo sapiens (human)
Lineage: Eukaryota; Metazoa; Chordata; Mammalia; Primates; Hominidae
Description: HSALNT0296088
Source: RNAcentral